UAUAUCUAAGUAUAUGAUGUACAGAGGUUUUUGGUAUCUCAAGAGAUGGUUUAAUUCCAUUAGGUAUAA
This 69-nucleotide transfer RNA is filed under the name unidentified. RNAcentral's name for it is "Adiscus speciosus tRNA-Gln". The record is from RNAcentral.